RNAcentral lists this non-coding RNA (32 nucleotides) under Macaca fascicularis (crab-eating macaque). Lineage: Eukaryota; Metazoa; Chordata; Mammalia; Primates; Cercopithecidae. RNAcentral also lists the same sequence under 1 other name. The record is from RNAcentral.
UGGUGCAUAGAGCCUUAGGUUUGGAAAGAAGU